RNAcentral lists this ribosomal RNA (381 nucleotides) under uncultured bacterium. RNAcentral's name for it is "partial 16S ribosomal RNA". It matches the Rfam family "Bacterial small subunit ribosomal RNA", at positions 338 to 734 of the family's 1533-position model. The record is from RNAcentral.
CCUACGGGUGUCAGCAGUGGGGAAUAUUGGGCAAUGGGCGCAAGCCUGAACCAGCGACGCCGCGUGAGGGAAGACGGUCUUCGGAUUGUAAACCUCUUUCAGCAGGGAAGUCAAAAGGACGGUACCUGCAGAAGAAGCCACGGCUAACUACGUUACAGCAGCAGCGGUAAUACGUAGGUGGCAGGCGUUAUCCGGAAUUACUGGGUGUAAAGGGUGUGUAGGGGGGUUUGCAAGUCAGAUGUGAAAAUUAUGGGAUCAACCCAUAACCUGCGUCUGAAACUACAGAUCUUGAGAGUGGGAGAGGGAAACGGAAUUCGCGGUGUAGCGGUGAAAUGCGUAGAUAUCGGGAGGAACACCAGUUGCGAAGGCGGUUUACUGGAC